CGCGGCCUAUCAGCUUGUUGGUGGGGUGAUGGCCUACCAAGGCGACGACGGGUAGCCGGCCUGAGAGGGUGUCCGGCCACACUGGGACUGAGAUACGGCCCAGACUCCUACGGGAGGCAGCAGUGGGGAAUAUUGCACAAUGGGCGCAAGCCUGAUGCAGCGACGCCGCGUGGGGGAUGACGGCCUUCGGGUUGUAAACCUCUUUCACCAUCGACGAAGGUCCGGGUUUUCUCGGAUUGACGGUAGGUGGAGAAGAAGCACCGGCCAACUACGUGCCAGCAGCCGCGGUAAUACGUAGGGUGCGAGCGUUGUCCGGAAUUACUGGGCGUAAAGAGCUCGUAGGUGGUUUGUCGCGUUGUUCGUGAAAUCUCACGGCUUAACUGUGAGCGUGCGGGCGAUACGGGCAGACUGGAGUACUGCAGGGGAGACUGGAAUUCCUGGUGUAGCGGUGGAAUGCGCAGAUAUCAGGAGGAACACCGGUGGCGAAGGCGGGUCUCUGGGCAGUAACUGACGCUGAGGAGCGAAAGCGUGGGGAGCGAACAGGAUUAGAUACCCUGGUAGUCCACGCCGUAAACGGUGGGUACUAGGUGUGGGUUUCCUUCCUUGGGAUCCGUGCCGUAGCUAACGCAUUAAGUACCCCGCCUGGGGAGUACGG
RNAcentral lists this ribosomal RNA (655 nucleotides) under uncultured Actinomycetes bacterium. Its description in RNAcentral is "bacterial SSU rRNA". It matches the Rfam family "Bacterial small subunit ribosomal RNA", at positions 232 to 885 of the family's 1533-position model. The record is from RNAcentral. Lineage: Bacteria; Bacillati; Actinomycetota; Actinomycetes.